AACCGGAAGAUCACAGCAAUGAGGAGUGGGAUAUUCGAACUUCUGUUGGUAUGGAUUGCACUCUUGAUAACGAGAACUCAUAUCACCAGAUCCGGUUUCAGUGACCCUCUUUUCGUUUUUGGGAGUAAAGAACAAGUAGAUCCGGUAUCCUAUAUGUUUGUAGAACUCAUAUCACCCCUGAUGAAGAUCUAGGAACUACAAAUCACCGCAGAACUUGAUUUUGUUUUCCUGUUGGAGCACCAUUA
Long non-coding RNA from Helianthus annuus (common sunflower), 245 nucleotides. RefSeq lists it as uncharacterized. The record is from RefSeq and is a predicted model, not a curated record. NCBI's taxonomy places the organism in Eukaryota, Viridiplantae, Streptophyta, Magnoliopsida, Asterales, Asteraceae. The transcript is spliced from 3 exons.